GAACGAACGCUGGCGGCAUGCCUAACACAUGCAAGUCGAACGAGAUCCUUCGGGGUCUAGUGGCGCACGGGUGCGUAACGCGUGGGAAUCUGCCCUUAGGUUCGGAAUAACAGUUAGAAAUGACUGCUAAUACCGGAUGAUGACGUUAAGUCCAAAGAUUUAUCGCCUGAGGAUGAGCCCGCGUAGGAUUAGCUAGUUGGUGUGGUAAAGGCGCACCAAGGCGACGAUCCUUAGCUGGUCUGAGAGGAUGAUCAGCCACACUGGGACUGAGACACGGCCCAGACUCCUACGGGAGGCAGCAGUGGGGAAUAUUGGACAAUGGGCGCAAGCCUGAUCCAGCAAUGCCGCGUGAGUGAUGAAGGCCUUAGGGUUGUAAAGCUCUUUUACCCGAGAUGAUAAUGACAGUAUCGGGAGAAUAAGCCCCGGCUAACUCCGUG
This 437-nucleotide ribosomal RNA is filed under the name uncultured bacterium. Its description in RNAcentral is "partial 16S ribosomal RNA". It matches the Rfam family "Bacterial small subunit ribosomal RNA", at positions 27 to 507 of the family's 1533-position model. The record is from RNAcentral.